UGUUGCCAAGCUGUGCAUUUAAAUGGAAGGAGGAGAAACAGAUGGGGAAAUCACUCUUCAGACAGUGUUUACUAGCACAAUCAGCACCUGAGGCAGCACUUAUUCAGGUGCUGAAAUUACAGAGAUAUUGGGGAACAGCACGGAGGAAGAGAAUCAAAGAUUAAAUGAUGGAGAAAAAGUGUUGUACUCUGGAUCCAGAAGGACAAAAUGGGCAGGAACAGGGACUGCACUUACAAAAUAAAUGGGAUGUCUCUCUGUUGUGAGGUUUACCGAGCAUCAGACACAUAUAUAAUGAAAAUAAAUUGCCUGGCUUCAAUCUUCAUUAGCUAAUGAAGUAUGCUAUAGAAAUACAAAGCUGUUGGAGUGUG
Tyto alba (common barn owl) is the source of this 368-nucleotide long non-coding RNA. RefSeq lists it as uncharacterized. Lineage: Eukaryota; Metazoa; Chordata; Aves; Strigiformes; Tytonidae. The transcript has 3 exons. The record is from RefSeq and is a predicted model, not a curated record.